AACACCUGGAAACAGAUGCUAAUACCGGAUAACAACACUAGACGCAUGUCUAGAGUUUGAAAGAUGGUUCUGCUAUCACUCUUGGAUGGACCUGCGGUGCAUUAGCUAGUUGGUAAGGUAACGGCUUACCAAGGCAAUGAUGCAUAGCCGAGUUGAGAGACUGAUCGGCCACAUUGGGACUGAGACACGGCCCAAACUCCUACGGGAGGCAGCAGUAGGGAAUCUUCCACAAUGGACGAAAGUCUGAUGGAGCAACGCCGCGUGAGUGAAGAAGGGUUUCGGCUCGUAAAGCUCUGUUGGUAGUGAAGAAAGAUAGAGGUAGUAACUGGCCUUUAUUUGACGGUAAUUACUUAGAAAGUCACGGCUAACUACGUGCCAGCAGCCGCGGUAAUACGUAGGUGGCAAGCGUUGUCCGGAUUUAUUGGGCGUAAAGCGAGUGCAGGCGGUUCAAUAAGUCUGAUGUGAAAGCCUUCGGCUCAACCGGAGAAUUGCAUCAGAAACUGUUGAACUUGAGUGCAGAAGAGGAGAGUGGAACUCCAUGUGUAGCGGUGGAAUGCGUAGAUAUAUGGAAGAACACCAGUGGCGAAGGCGGCUCUCUGGUCUGCAACUGACGCUGAGGCUCGAAAGCAUGGGUAGCGAACAGGAUUAGAUACCCUGGUAGUCCAUGCCGUAAACG
Molecule: ribosomal RNA, 676 nt
Filed under: uncultured bacterium
Lineage: Bacteria
Description: bacterial SSU rRNA
Rfam family: Bacterial small subunit ribosomal RNA
Source: RNAcentral